GGGGGGCGUGUCCCUGCCCUGCACAGCCGGCCCUCACCACCCAGGACCCUGCACGCAUCACCAUCCCCGGGGUUCCAGUGGGCCUGGGCGGGAAGCUGCUCUCAGGGCCUCUGAGAGAGGAGAGCAAGGGGGAAGGCCAAAAGGAAGUCAAAAGAUCAGUUUAAAAAUAGCCCUCCUCCGUGUCAGCCAGGAGGAGGGGCUUGGGGAGGAGCCAGGUUCUGAUGGUGGUGGCUCAGGGCAACCUCGGAAAGGCCUGAAAAGCGAAUUGGCAGAGGCCCAUCUGGGAGCACACCCCAUGUGCUUAUCAGCCUGAGCAAGCCACGGCCAAAACCCGGUCUUCGCAGAGACUUCCGGCCAGCCAGCAUCUGUUUCCUCUCCUAUAUUUAAACAACCAGACCAAUGUGGCCUGUGGGGUGUGUCUCCAAAGAAGAGAAUCAGAAAAGAAUCAGAAAGAUGCUGGCCAUGGGGCUCUAGAAAUCCAGCUGCCUUCUCCCGGUUUCUGGAUGCGCAACAGCCCCAUUGUGGGUGGAGAAAAACGCACUGAAGCUUUUCUGAAAGCAUAUUUGAACGUGGACCUCCGGUGCAUAGAUUAGCAGCCAGCUCCCAGCCAAGGCACCCCCUCCUCUCCUCUCCGUCUUUGCAAGAGAAUUCAGUUCCAUUUAAGUCCAGGGGACAUGGCAAAAACAACACUCCAAACACCACUUCCAUUUUUGGCAAUGGGAUCCUUCAAACUGAGAAAUCGCCCUUCAGCUCGGAAGUCCUUUGGAUUCUCUCUGUACCUCAUACAUCAGUUCCGUCUGCUCACUUCAGAGGGAAGGAAUAAAGCCUGAGAAGUUGAGGCUCAUUUUCUAAGUUGUUUUAUAGAAGCAAGAAUGCUAAUAUCAGAAAAAACAAAAACAGAGUCACUGAUUUUUAACACUGGAAGGAUGUCAGCUAGCCAUCAAUCACAUGCUGCACUUUUUGGAUGAGGACACUAAGGCCAAAGGGGCUAAGGGCCCAAGCUGCACUUCGAGAGUAUCUAUCCCCAGGACAAGCCAUCUUAGGACCCCAGAGAGGCUGAGAGCCAUGCCCUUGUUUCCCCUACUUACUUGCACUAUUAACUUCCUAUUAACCCU
This 1115-nucleotide long non-coding RNA is filed under the name Ursus thibetanus thibetanus. RNAcentral's name for it is "lncRNA (ENSUTTG00000005296.1)". Lineage: Eukaryota; Metazoa; Chordata; Mammalia; Carnivora; Ursidae. The record is from RNAcentral.